UUGUUUUCAAAGCUAAGUAUUAUUUUAUCAUGUUUGUUUUUGUUUAUUGAUUAGCAUAUGUUGUUAUUAUCAUGUUCUGUUUUUAUUUUUAUUAUUGUUAUUAUUAUAACUGUUACGAUUUUUAUUGUUAUUAUUAUUUUUAUUAUUAUCAUCAUUAUUUUUCAGUAUAGUAAACUCAACAAACAAACAGAUGCACAUACUUUUACACACACACGCACUCACACUUACACACACUUAUUAACCUUCAGAGAUCCUUGCCUUUCCUUAUCCUUCGGCAGUUAAUUGACUAGUUCAGAACUCAGGGGUCUUGCCAAGAUGCUACCCUAACAAGACAGUAUUUUUGCAACUUGCCCAGGGUUAUUCUAGUUAAUUACACAGAAUUUAAUUGACCAGCUGGUUACUGAGGCUGUGAUGCCAAUCUUUUUAUCACUGGUAUAGCAUGAAUGGUGCCUCAUAACACCAGUGACCAGGCUUGCCAGAUCUACGGAUUUAUCUGGACACCAAUACGUUAGGGACGACACCGAGAGGUGCACAGCGGGCAAGGUGGAUCGUUCAGAUGGAAAACGACCUACGGAUCCUACGCAGAAUGUAGAGCUGGCAAAUUUCAGUCAUGGACUGAAUGGAAUAGAAACGUCUCUUACGUACAGCAAAGGCUACACCACGGCUUGGGACUGUUUAGUAAGAAUCGGGAUGAUGCUCAGAAGUCACACAGAAGGACACAUUCCCAGACAUUAUUUUGAAAUCCAAAAUAGCGACCAGCGGUUUCUAGAAAACAGCCUAGAACGACAAAAUACAAUCCAAUAUGAGUAUUUUAUCUCUGGGCGUUCUAAGAAAAUUUAUGUAUUUGAAGUGAUUAAUACAUUAUAAGAUGUGAACUGUAACACAAUAUUUGUAAAGUGAGGUGUGCUAAAGAGGAGUGAAGAAAGAGAAAUGAUGCUUAAUUUUGAAUCUUUAACCCCGAGCAACGAAGGGAACGUUCAACUAAUACAUAGUCUCUCCCGAGCUAGGAUUCGAACAUACGACAACUACGAGACCAGCUGGAAGGUAACGAAUCCAUGAAGAAUAAACGAAUAUCAAAUCCAUAGAAUAAAACACAGAACGGAUUAGCCAAUUUAGUUCACAACAUGUCAAAGUAAAUUAAAAAUCCAAAAUCUGAAAAAAUCUGUUAUUAUUUUUCUUGUGUAACGGCCAACGAAUGCUUUUUUUUCUUGAAUAUGUUACAGUAUACGAUUGUUUGUAUAAUUCCAAAGUUUCA
Wyeomyia smithii (pitcher-plant mosquito) is the source of this 1255-nucleotide long non-coding RNA. RefSeq lists it as uncharacterized. The transcript is spliced from 3 exons. The record is from RefSeq and is a predicted model, not a curated record. NCBI's taxonomy places the organism in Eukaryota, Metazoa, Arthropoda, Insecta, Diptera, Culicidae.